GGUUUGGCACCUCGAUGUCGGCUCGUCGCAUCCUGGGGCUGGAGUCGGUCCCAAGGGUUGGGCUGUUCGCCCAUUAAAGCGGUACGCGAGCUGGGUUCAGAACGUCGUGAGACAGUUCGGUCCCUAUCCGCUGCGCGCGUUGGAAAUUUGAGAAAGGCUGUCCUUAGUACGAGAGGACCGGGACGGACGAACCUCUGGUAUGUCAGUUGUACCGCCAGGUGCAUGGCUGAUUGGCUACGUUCGGGAGGGAUAACCGCUGAAAGCAUCUAAGCGGGAAGCCUGUUUCGAGAUGAGAUUUCCUGGCACUUUGGUGUGUGAGGCUCCUUAUAGAUGAUGAGGUUGAUAGGCCGGGUAUGGAAGCGGGGACUGAAGACUCGUGGAGUUGACUGGUACUAAUAGGCCGAAGGCUUACUUU
This 415-nucleotide ribosomal RNA is filed under the name Rothia mucilaginosa M508. RNAcentral describes it as "bacterial LSU rRNA". It matches the Rfam family "Bacterial large subunit ribosomal RNA", at positions 2515 to 2925 of the family's 2925-position model. The record is from RNAcentral. Lineage: Bacteria; Bacillati; Actinomycetota; Actinomycetes; Micrococcales; Micrococcaceae. RNAcentral also lists the same sequence under 1 other name.